Molecule: ribosomal RNA, 116 nt
Filed under: Rhizophydium sp. ARG035
Lineage: Eukaryota; Fungi; Chytridiomycota; Chytridiomycetes; Rhizophydiales; Rhizophydiaceae
Description: 5.8S ribosomal RNA
Source: RNAcentral
GCAAUAUGCGUUCAAAGAUUUGAUGAUUCACGAGAUUCUGCAAUUCACAUUACGUAUCGCAUUUCGCUGCGUUCUUCAUCGUUGCGAGAGCCAAGAGAUCCGUUGUCAAAAGUUGU